Xiphophorus hellerii (green swordtail) is the source of this 177-nucleotide long non-coding RNA. RefSeq lists it as uncharacterized. The record is from RefSeq and is a predicted model, not a curated record. Lineage: Eukaryota; Metazoa; Chordata; Actinopteri; Cyprinodontiformes; Poeciliidae. The transcript is spliced from 2 exons.
CCAGGGGAAAACGGUGCCAGACAUCCGGCCAGAAAACAUUGAACACAACACAACGAGGAUGUGUGUGAGUUGGUGACAGGGUGAAGAGCUUUGUGUUCAAUUACAGGCAACAUCACCUGAUUGUUUUGUUCUUAUGUGAAAUACAUGUUCGUUGUGUAAUAAAUAACGAACAAGUUU